AUUGAACGCUGGCGGCAGGCCUAACACAUGCAAGUCGAGCGGAUGAAGGGAGCUUGCUCCUGGAUUCAGCGGCGGACGGGUGAGUAAUGCCUAGGAAUCUGCCUGGUAGUGGGGGAUAACGUCCGGAAACGGGCGCUAAUACCGCAUACGUCCUGAGGGAGAAAGUGGGGGAUCUUCGGACCUCACGCUAUCAGAUGAGCCUAGGUCGGAUUAGCUAGUUGGUGGGGUAAAGGCCUACCAAGUCGACGAUCCGUAACUGGUCUGAGAGGAUGAUCAGUCACACUGGAACUGAGACACGGUCCAGACUCCUACGGGAGGCAGCAGUGGGGAAUAUUGGACAAUGGGCGAAAGCCUGAUCCAGCCAUGCCGCGUGUGUGAAGAAGGUCUUCGGAUUGUAAAGCACUUUAAGUUGGGAGGAAGGGCAGUAAGUUAAUACCUUGCUGUUUUGACGUUACCAACAGAAUAAGCACCGGCUAACUUCGUG
Molecule: ribosomal RNA, 484 nt
Filed under: uncultured bacterium
Lineage: Bacteria
Description: partial 16S ribosomal RNA
Rfam family: Bacterial small subunit ribosomal RNA
Source: RNAcentral